CCGGGAAGAGCCCAGCUU
RNAcentral lists this small nuclear RNA (18 nucleotides) under Arabidopsis thaliana (thale cress). RNAcentral describes it as "snRNA_17724". Lineage: Eukaryota; Viridiplantae; Streptophyta; Magnoliopsida; Brassicales; Brassicaceae. The record is from RNAcentral.